Molecule: ribosomal RNA, 531 nt
Filed under: uncultured bacterium
Lineage: Bacteria
Description: bacterial SSU rRNA
Rfam family: Bacterial small subunit ribosomal RNA
Source: RNAcentral
CCCGGCUCAUGGAUGGGGCCUGCGGUGCAUUAGCAGUUGGUGAGAUAGUAGCUCACCAAGGCGACGAUACAUAGCCGACCUGAGAGGGGUGAUCGGCCACACUGGGACUGAGACACGGCCCAGACUCCUACGGGAGGCCAGCAGUAGGGAAUCUUCGGCAAUGGGGGCAACCCUGACCGAGCAACGCCGCGUGAGUGAAGAAGGUUUUCGGAUCGUAAAGCUCUGUUGUAAGUCAAGAACGGGUGUGAGAGUGGAAAGUUCACACUGUGACGGUAGCUUACCAGAAAGGGACGGCUAACUACGUGCCAGCAGCCGCGGUAAUACGUAGGUCCCGAGCGUUGUCCGGGAUUUACUUGGGCGUAAAGCGAGCCGCAGGCGGAAGAAUAAGUCUGAUGUGAAAGCCCUCGGCUUAACCGAGGAACUGCAUCGGAAACUGUUUUUCUUGAGUGCAGAAGAGGAGAGUGGAAUUCCAUGUGUAGCGGUGGAAUGCGUAGAUAUAUGGAAGAACACCAGUGGCGAACGGCACUCUCU